AACGAACGCUGGCGGCAGGCCUAACACAUGCAAGUCGAGCGAGGACUUCGGCCCUAGCGGCGGACGGGUGAGUAACGCGUGGGAACGUGCCCUUUGCUUCGGAAUAGCCCUGGGAAACUGGGAGUAAUACCGGAUGAGCCCUUUGGGGGAAAGAUUUAUCGGCGAAGGAUCGGCCCGCGUUGGAUUAGGUAGUUGGUGGGGUAAUGGCCUACCAAGCCGACGAUCCAUAGCUGGUUUGAGAGGAUGAUCAGCCACACUGGGACUGAGACACGGCCCAGACUCCUACGGGAGGCAGCAGUGGGGAAUCUUAGACAAUGGGGGAAACCCUGAUCUAGCCAUGCCGCGUGAGCGAUGAAGGCCUUAGGGUUGUAAAGCUCUUUCAGCUGGGAAGAUAAUGACGGUACCAGCAGAAGAAGCCCCGGCUAACUCCGUG
This 433-nucleotide ribosomal RNA is filed under the name uncultured bacterium. RNAcentral's name for it is "partial 16S ribosomal RNA". It matches the Rfam family "Bacterial small subunit ribosomal RNA", at positions 29 to 507 of the family's 1533-position model. The record is from RNAcentral.